CCAAAACGAUCGAAGCUUCCUUCCCUCUCCCCCUACCAGUCCACCCGCUCGACCCCGCGGACCUAGGGUUCGCGCCGCCAGCCGGCGACCCCGCCACGUCCCGUGCGCCGGUGACCACGCCCCGUCCCGUCCGCCGCUGCCCCGUACCGUCGCCGGCGACCCGUCGCGUCCGCCGCCGCCCCGUACCGUCGCCCGCCCCGCCCCGUACCGUCGCCCGCCCCGCCCCGUCAGUUUCUGUCAAGAUGGGGUUGUCUUCGGCCGCUGAGAUCGACGGGGCGCAGCUGUGCAUCUUCGACCUGAGGAGAGGGCAGCAGGAGGGGCAGGAGCUCGACAAGAUCCUCUUCUUCCACCCGGCUGACUGCCCCAUCCUGCUCCAGCUCUCCGUCAUUGGCCUCUGCGAAGGAAUCAUCACUUUCACAAGAAUAUUUUCUCCAGAAGAUGACUGUGAGGUGAUAGAAUCUGAUAAACACUGCCACGUUUUUUACCAAGCUGAGCCAGAUAUUUGGAUGGUUCUGGUGGUGCAGAAAAUUAAGGACAAUGAAUCAACUUUGCGCUUUGGUGCAUUGCAAGGAAUACUAAAAGAAUCUCAUUCACUUUUCGCAAUGUUUCAUGGACCAAUUCGAACUUUACUUGACAGACAACCAAGUGCUGAAUUUGCCCGUGGUCACCUCCAUACAUUUGUCACAGAUUAUUUGAGCGAUUUUAGUGUUGGCAAAAAGCUACAAUUGCCAACCUACCGUGAUAGCCUAACGGAGCGGGGAACAGUCCAAAUGCUAACAGUCUCACGAGAAGUGGCACUUGAAGUUCAGUCACUCACCACAGUUCUUGGGUCAUGUCUUCGAAACGUAAUCUGCCAAUCAAUUGUAUUAUUUGAGGACCUCUUGGUGUCUACAACACUUCCCCUGGAUGAUACGUUAAACCUAUACACUUAUGCAAUCCUGCGGUUGACUCCUAGUGCUUUAUCUUCCAACGGGAAUUCAUGGUCCUAUUUGCGGAAAGGGGGUUAUGUUAAUGCUGACACCACUUUAAGUUCGGCAAAUGGAGCAGCUGCAGCAGAAAGGUACAAUAGUCGAUCUCGUGACACUUCUCCUGGUGGACAAAAUCAGAUGCACCAUAAUUUCAGGCCUCUUCAGCGUGAGAAAUUGUCCAAGGGAAAAGAUGGUUUUGUUGCUGCUGACUUUGCAACUACAGAAAUUCGUGGUGCUGUACCGUUGAAUCCAAUACUGUGGUUCCAUCAGGCAGAGGAGCGCAUGUAUUUAUGUGUUUAUCAGCAUAAGAACCUUACUAUCUUGCUAGUGAUUCCAGCUUCCUCACUGAUAAAUGGAGAAGAGGGUAUUGCUCAUGUGAAGAGGCAUCUUCUUGAAAAUGCCUCACAGAACAUUGUCACUGUUGAACAAAAAUUAUCACGAGGAUGGGGAGGAGAAAAUGCCUAUCAUGUCGGUGGAUACCGUUAUAUACUCUCUGAUCCAAACAGAAAAGUAUCAAGAGCCUCCCCACCUGGGAAAGUCAUCACCCUGUCAAAGGAUUCUCUACUUGCCCUCAACAGGCUAAGAGGAGAAAUAGAUCUAGAGAAGUCAAGAGCUAAGAGGAGUGACCCUACCCAUGACAAGGAUUAUGAAGUAUGCAUCAGAGCGAAAAAUAAUGCAUGGAUUAUUGCUAAAAUUUCUCGAGGAAAAGAACUCUAUAUGGCUAUAGAGAAGGGCGGCGAAACACUUCUCUAUGCAUCUACAGCUGUUGAGAAAUUUAGCAACAGGUAACUUGUUGCUAUGCAUCUCUGAUUGGGAUGAGGAAUAGUGUACAUGCUCUGUUGAGCAGGUAUCCGAACUGAAGUUGUGACUAAGAAGUACUCCCUAUGUUCCUAAAUGUACUGCGAGGGAGCAUUCUCUGCGGACUAAAAGCACCAGCACCAGCAUGAUUCCCACGAUCCAGUCCAGCACUGCACAUGGUUGUCAACUGGAUCACUCCCUAAUGUGUGUAAUUGAUGUCGAUCUCACUCAUGCAAUAACUGGAUCCAUACCAGUUGUACAGCUGCCCUUUGGAAUAAAAUUAUGCAGAGCAGGAACCAGCAUGUUCUGCCUCUAGGUUCUGCGGCCUUAUGGGAUACAGUACUUAGGAACAUUCUCAUUUCUAUCUGAUGUUAAAAAAAGAAGAUCAUUUCGAUCUGUAAAUGCCGACGGAGGACUGCUAACUCGUAUAUGUGUUACGGGCCAGUUCUCUUGCGCUUGUAGAUGGCUUACCUUGGAAAUUAAGCCUCCUUCAGAAAAAGAAAACUUGGAAAUUAAGGCCAAGCUUGAAAGAACUUGUCUUUUCAGGGUAAAAGAAAUAACUUAUUUU
Molecule: non-coding RNA, 2334 nt
Organism: Aegilops tauschii subsp. strangulata
Lineage: Eukaryota; Viridiplantae; Streptophyta; Magnoliopsida; Poales; Poaceae
Source: RefSeq, a predicted model, not a curated record